Molecule: long non-coding RNA, 256 nt
Filed under: Elaeis guineensis (African oil palm)
Lineage: Eukaryota; Viridiplantae; Streptophyta; Magnoliopsida; Arecales; Arecaceae
Description: long non-coding RNA (EGUI_LNC017284)
Source: RNAcentral
GGGCUAAUACUUACAUUACUCUGCUACCCAAAAAAUUGAAUGUCAGAAUCCUUCAAAUUACCGUCCUGUUAGUCUUUGUAAUACUGUGUUUAAAAUUAUGGCAAAGAUACUUGUUAAUAGACUCAAGAUGAUCAUCCCAUCUUUAAUUUCUCAGAGCAAGGUACUUUUUUGUUGGGUCACCACAUCACUUCUUCUAUUUUAUUAGCCCAAGAACUCAUGCAUUCAAUGUUUCAAGCCCUUCGGUCUAGAUGCCUAU